CCUACGGGAGGCAGCAGUAGGGAAUAUUGGGCAAUGGAUGCAAGUCUGACCCAGCCAUGCCGCGUGCCGGAUGAAGGCCCUCAGGGUUGUAAACGGCUUUUAUUCGGGAAGAAGAGCAGGGAUGCGUCCUUGUGUGACGGUACCGAAUGAAUAAGCACCGGCUAACUCCGUGCCAGCAGCCGCGGUAAUACGGAGGGUGCGAGCGUUGUCCGGAUUUAUUGGGUUUAAAGGGUGCGUAGGUGGCUGUUUAAGUCAGUGGUGAAAUACGGUUGCUCAACAAUCGAGGUGCCAUUGAUACUGAAUAGCUUGAAAUAAUUGGAGGCUGCCGGAAUGGAUGGUGUAGCGGUGAAAUGCAUAGAUAUCAUCCAGAACACCGAUUGCGAAGGCAGGUGGCUACGAUUGGUUUGACACUGAGGCACGAAAGCAUGGGGAGCAAACAGGAUUAGAUACCCUGGUAGUCCAUGCUGUAAACGAUGAGGACUCGUUGUUUGGCUGCAAAGCUGAGCGACUUAGGGAAACCGUUAAGUCCUCCACCUGGGGAGUACGCCGGCAACGGUGAAACUCAAAGGAAUUGACGG
Molecule: ribosomal RNA, 578 nt
Filed under: uncultured bacterium
Lineage: Bacteria
Description: bacterial SSU rRNA
Rfam family: Bacterial small subunit ribosomal RNA
Source: RNAcentral